GUGUCAGCCGCCGCGGGAAUACGAAUGGGGCAAGCGUUGUUCGGAUUUACUGGGCGUAAAGCGGGCGUAGGCGGCCGGCUAAGUCGGAUGUGAAAUCCCGGGGCUCAACUCGGGAACUGCAUUCGAUACUGGUCGGCUAGAGUUCGAGAGGGGGAUGCGGAAUUCCGCGUGUAGCAGUGAAAUGCGUAGAUAUGCGGAGGAACACCUGAGGCGAAGGCGGCAUCCUGGAUCGACACUGACGCUGAGGCCCGAAAGCGUGGGGAGCAAACAGGAUUAGAGACCCUGGUAGUCCACGCCCUAAACGAUGUCUACUAGCCGUUGCGGGUAUCGCCCCCUGCAUUGGCGCAGCUAACGCGAUAAGUAGACCGCCGGGGGAGUACGGCCGCAAGGUUAAAACUCAAAUGAAUUGACGGGG
RNAcentral lists this ribosomal RNA (415 nucleotides) under uncultured prokaryote. RNAcentral describes it as "bacterial SSU rRNA". It matches the Rfam family "Bacterial small subunit ribosomal RNA", at positions 505 to 918 of the family's 1533-position model. The record is from RNAcentral.